UGAUCCUGACAAUCUUGACCACCUUCUUCCCCCUCUUCCAUCAGGAAAAAAGAAAACCAAAAUAAUAAAUGUAUGCUCCCUUUGGCACUAAGCUUUGCAGCUUUAGAUAACACAUUGAUAUGCAGGCUUGAAGGGGAAAACUAAAGAACACUAUGUCUUUCAAAUAUCAAAACCCUCGAAGGAUAGUAUCACACCCCAAAUCUUCAUACCUGGAUGAUAUGUUGAGUUGUAUGGUGCCAGAAACACCACAUUAAGAUUAAUGAAAAGCAUAGUGGCAUAAAUUUUCUACAUCCCAAAGCCAAGUAUUUUUAUCAUAAGGACUCAUAUUCUUCUUGAUCCUAUGCUUUUUUGCUUGAGGUGGAAUUACAGCUCCGUCACAUGGAGAUUUUACUCAUCUAUUUUGCAAUGGUAG
Molecule: unclassified non-coding RNA, 412 nt
Filed under: Hevea brasiliensis (rubber tree)
Lineage: Eukaryota; Viridiplantae; Streptophyta; Magnoliopsida; Malpighiales; Euphorbiaceae
Source: RNAcentral